RNAcentral lists this long non-coding RNA (1188 nucleotides) under Oryctolagus cuniculus (rabbit). RNAcentral describes it as "lncRNA (ENSOCUG00000038224.1)". The record is from RNAcentral. Lineage: Eukaryota; Metazoa; Chordata; Mammalia; Lagomorpha; Leporidae.
UCUGAGAAACUUGGCCUAAAUUUUCAGGUAACAUGUGACAGGUGUAAAAGCUGUGUUGUUUCCUAGUAUUCAAUAGAGCUAAAGAGUUACCAUUCAGAGUUAAGACUAUCACCCUUGAUAUUACACGAAUAUGAGAAAGAGUAGAGAAUCAAGCUAUUAUCUCCAUAGACUUACAGUCCAUUAACUCAUUUAUGAGUUUAUUGACUCACUUAAGUUAUGAGAUCAGUGACAGUGCAAAGCAGGGCUGGAGAUUAUAAUGGGGAUGAGAGCAUUUUAUAGGAUUUUGCUGAAUCACAGAACACUGUUUAGACAAGGAAACCAACAAAUCAAUGAGAAGGUAGAGAAGUUGGAAGAGCAAAAGGCCUUUUGGGAAAUCCCACUGACUUUGCUCAUUUGCCUAGAACUGGACUGGAAAGCCCUUAUAAAGGGCUGAUAUUUCAGUCAUAAUGUAAUUAGUAGAGUAGAACAUAAAAGGGAGUAUAUUACCUCUCUGCCAAGCUUUUGAUGAAAGAUCUAUGUGCAGUGGUAUGUAAGAGCCAGCUAGCUCUUUAUGACUGUCAAUUGUUAAAUUUCCAAACAAUAUCAAACCCAGUUCAUAGACGUUUGCUUGUUUGAAUUUACCGGUGUGGAACUACUACACCAUGGGAGUUGGUAAAUGUUACAAAUCAUGUUUCUCCCCCUCACCCGCUUCCACAGCUUCUUCAUAGCAGAGUCAAUGCUCAGCAGCAUUUCAAGACUUGAGGUUCCAUCAGCAGACCAUUCUCUUGGAGCUACAACUCCCCUCACUUAGAGGAAUUAGAGACGUUCAAUGAGGCUUUUGACUGACAUCUAUUCACUUCAAGGGUGAUUUUCCUGUUGGCAAGAGGCAGAAGAGACACACCAAGCAGCACCUUCAGGAACAAGCAAUUUAAGUACUAUAAUGAGAUGGGUCUUUUCAGAGUCUAUAAUUGGUGACAAGUUGAAAACUGCAAAUGCUGGUGACUUCUUAAAAAAAAAAAUCUGUCUACAUAGACCCUCAUCUUUCCCCUCAACUACUUCUCUGGACAAAGGAAGCAGGUGCGGUUCUUUCUUGGACAUGCAUCUGAUCUUUUCUAACCUAGACCUGGAUUUUCCUUGGUAAGUGUCAUAUACUCUGAUAUUUUGUAUGAUACAAUUGCCACCAUUGCAGUGGUGUUGCAGCACAAGUAC